CGACGCGGUGAACUACGUUCUCGGGCCUUGUACACACCGCCCGUCAAGCCAUGGAAGCUGGGGGUACCCGAAGUCGCCUUUAAAAAGCGCCUAAGGUAAAACCAGUGACUGGGGCU
Molecule: ribosomal RNA, 116 nt
Filed under: uncultured bacterium
Lineage: Bacteria
Description: partial 16S ribosomal RNA
Rfam family: Bacterial small subunit ribosomal RNA
Source: RNAcentral